CACAAAUCUCACACCUAGUCAUUAAUCCAUUAACACGAGGAUAUAUAGUCAUACAGAUGACUGUCAUUGAUAUGGUUUGGCUCUGUGUCCCCACAUCUUGAAUUGUAAUCCUCAUAAUUCCCAGGUGUAGAGGGAGGGACCAGAUGGGAGGUGAUUGGAUCACGGGGGUGGUUUUACCCAUGCUGUUCUGGUGGUAGUGAGUGAGUCUCACAAGACCUGAUGGUUUUAAAAGUGGCAAUUUUUCCCAUGUUUGCAUUAAUUUUCUUCCUUGCCACCUUGUGAAGAAGGUGCCUGCUUUCCCUCUCCUAUGAUGAAUGGUAGAGAGCAGUCUAUAGCCUGAGACCCAUCCCUAGGUAAGUAACUGAAUUGGGGUUUCUCUUGGCUAAAGUGAAUAUUAACAACCAAAUGGCUUUAAUUUCUCCUUACCAUUAGAGCACUCAGUAAUCAUAUAAGUUGUGCGAUCAUUUAUUUUUGCUUAACUGUUUUUUGUUGUUUGUUUCUGUUGUUGUUUCAGUCUUUUUCCCAUUGGGUUUCACCAACUCUAUUUGACUUGAUCAAAUCCAAAGGAAAGUUCCAAAUUAUGGGGAACUAGGCCUCUAAAGUGGCUAAAUUCCCUCCACCCCCAAAAUAAAAGGUGCUAUGGUGGAGGGAGAAAAAAAGCCUGCAAAAGAAAUAUAUAUAUAUAUACACACACACAUAUACAUAUACAUAUAUAUAUAUAUACACAUAUACAUAUAUAUAUAUACAUAUAUAUAUAUAUAUACACUUUUUUUUUUGACUACUUAAGGGGCUUUAUUUACAUAAAAGGCCACCUUUCUGCUAGCCAGGCCAAACUGAAAGAGCAAUGUCUACAACCCCAUGCUAAGGUCUAUAGCUAACGUCCUGCUUCGUUUUUUCACAACAGCUUAAGUUUGAUUCCUAAAGCUCUUUCUAGUUUGACACUUGGUACUUCUGAAAGAGCAGGAAUUUGUCCUAGCUAAAAUAUGGUAAUGACAUUUAAAAGGAUUUUUUUAAGCAGUUCAAUGGUUAAAAGCCAGGGUAAUUAGUAGGCUCAUAUCCAAGAUGUGUGUGUAUAUGUGCAUGUGCGCACAUUUGUAUUUAAAAGACUUUCAUGUUUUUUUCCUCUCCUAUGACCUUGUCUUUUUUUUUUUUUUUUUUUGGCAAAAUAUUUUUUUCUUCUCAGUUGAAUGAACUCUGUUUUUACCUGAUUUUUUGACUAAAAUAGUUAUUGCAACAGAGGCUACUCUUGGGUUUUUAAGUAGGAGUGUAGCUUAUCACUUUGAAAUGUCCUUGUUUAAACAAUAUAUUUUAAUUGUACUGUAAAAGCAUCACAUGCUGUAGCCUCAUAAUAACUCUCCCUUUUUGGAGACCCAGGAUUCAGUGUGGGCUCUGCCCAGAGCUCAGAGAUCCAGUUAAAAAAAAAUAGGUAGUCCCUAACUAAAUAAACUUGCUCUCCUUAUACAAUCCUAUGAUACAUUUUUAUAAUUUUAUGUUUGAUUUGACAUCCUCUUUAAUCUCCCUCUAGCAUCACCAAACAUUUUCUCUGUGUACCUUGAGAUGUAAAUUUUGCUAUCCAAUUUUUCAUCUAAGAGUUGUUUCCUUUAAUAUGCAAAUCUAAGGCUGUUUAGCUCACAUCUGCCUAGGGUAGGAUAGAAAAAAAAAAAGGAAAAAUAGAAAGUCUUUAUCAAUCUAUUAAGAUGUACUUCUAUCAGCAUGCCCAAUAUGUCUAUAUAUUUAUGUGUUGUAUAUGCAAUGUUUUGCUACUAAAAAUAUAUAAAAGAGCUCGAAUUAAUUGGGUUACAAAUCAUAAAAGUGCUUAAAUCAGACACUAAAAAAAGACUAGUCAAAUGCUUUUCAAAUUCACAUGACUUAAGUAAAAUCUUAAUAAGAUGGUUUUAAAAUCAUUGAUAAAAUAAUAUUAGAAAUGUCUUAAGAAUUUACCAGCAUACAUUUUUGUUUGCAUUUAUUAACCAAGCAAUUUCAUACUUAACCCUACCAAGUACUGCAAGGUGUCAAAACUUGGCAGAGGGGUUACAAAACUAAAACUCAGCCUGAAACAGAAUGAUAUUUGCUUGUGUAAUUUUUAAUAAAUAAGACAUUAUAUUGGUUUAAUAAAAAAUAGGUACAUCUAAAAUGUAGUAAUAUUACCAUAACUUUAACCCUGUGGAUUUUGGUGGUCUAGUCCACAGGCAGUAAGGUUUGUUACUGCCUUUGUUUCAAAGGUAACUAUGCACUAAGUUCCUCCAAAAGUUAGUUUGGCCUACACCCAGGAAUGAACAAGGACAGCUUGGAGGUUAAAAGCAAAAUGCAGUCAAUGAGGUCAAAUCUUUUUCACUGUCUCAGUUGUAAUUUUGCAAUGGCAGUUUUAUAACUUUUAAUCACGACCAUCACACUUUUCAUAAAUAAUCUAGGUAAACAAUUAAAAUAAUAUAAUUAGGUAAAUGUAAUGGGAUCAAUACUUGUAGACAGGCUUGUCAUAAUUUAGAAUAUAAAGUUAAAUUAAAUAAUAGAUGUUUCAUUAUUUGUGUAUUUUCCAAUAUAAAUAUAUUUUAGGAAGACAUUCUUUCUAAAAACAAAGUCCUUUUUAAAAGAGUGGACAAUUUUUGUCUAACUCAAAGCUUAUUUAAAGGUUACACAUAAAACAAGGUAAAAGGAACCAGGAAAUAAGAGAAGUUUAAAAAGAGGUAAGUGGAAAUAAAGAGGUAAUUUUUUUGGUAAGAAAGCUUAACAAGAAAUGAUUUUAUAUGAGAAAGAAUUGUGUAUGGUAUUUUAGAGCUAGCAUAAAAUGACUAGUUGUUAAGAGAGAGGGAUGUUCAGGACAAACCAGAAAGUCCAAGCAUGUCAUGAAUGGUGUGUGUAAAUCACAAUAAAAGGAUUUAUAAAAAAUAACCUACAUGAUCAAGUUGUCUAUAAUUAAAGGGAAAUUAUAAUGGUUUUUAGAGAUUGGGUUUGAUGUAGAAAACACACAUAUACUAAACAUGGUUUAGAACAAUAAAAUUUUCUUAAGAGAUUGAUUUACUCUUAAUAAAUUAUAAAAGAUUUUAUUUUAUUUUCUAAUCCAAAGUUCAACUUUUAUUGCAUCUCUCCAUUUUCGGUUUUCUCUCCCCUUUAAAAGGGCAUGAAAUAGUAAUGCUCUCCAACAAAUUUUCAGCUCACAUAAUUUUUUUUCUGGAAUCCUGUUGUAGUGACCUGAUAUUAAUAAUAUUUUCUUAAAGGCCUAAAGGAAAUACUUUCUUCCAACUUAAUCUUCUGUGCAGUGCAGAAGGUCAUUUCUUUUGCCUUUUGCUAACUGGCCUAAAAGAUGUAUGUUUUAUCAAAAAAAUUCCUAUGCCAUUAUUAUUAAGUCUUAGUUUGCUUAGAAAAAACUGACAUGAAAUUUUUUAUUUUAAUUAACAUUAUUACAUCCAUGUAUCUUUCUGUAUGUGCUUUUAAAGUUCUUUUGACAUUGAGUUACAGGGCUUUAACUCCUGGGUCUAAAAAGGACAUCAAGUCCUGCCAAAUCUGAAACCUUGACAGCAACUGAAGCCUCAUCUUCAUGCCCAGCAGAAAAUGCCAAUUGGAAUAAACUGCAUUCCUAAGACAAAAGGCCAGAAAUUUAAGCUAGUCAACUCCUCAAGGCACAGUGGGUAUCACAGAAGAGGUGGGCAAGUGAGAAUAUAAGGGCCAAUUUUUGAAAGAUAACAUAGAUUCAGUUUCUCAAUAAAUUAAUCAUGAAUGUCAAAGGCACACUGAUGCAAGACCAGCAUAUGAGCUCCUGUGUCAGAUUAACUAGAUUUUAUUGAAGCAUUAACUGACUUCUUAAUAAAGGCUACAGGGUUAUAAAAGGUUAAUGGAAGUUAUAUCUUAUGGCCAAGAUUAAAAUUUUAUACAUUGUUAAAAAAUUUUGAAAAAUAAAUGUAAUUGGGCUUAUGCUGUUUUUAUUAGUGUUUAUUGUUUGGAAAAUAAGACUCCUCUCUCAAAGAAUGAAGGUUUUUGCCUUUUUUUAAAAAAUCAUUGGGUUAUCACUUUGGUUAAACGAAUGACUGGUUUUACAAUGACCUCUGAUCCUAUUUUGUGAUAUCAAAUGUUUUAAACCUUUGAUAUUUGACAAACUUUCCAAAAUCAAAUCAUAAAUUAUGUCUCUUUCUGACCUAAUUAAUCCUUUAAAAUAUGAGGUUUCUUCAAGUCCAAAAAUGACAUCAUUUGGCUUAUUUUGUAGAAAUAUUAUACAGGAAGCAAUGUCAAAUAUGAAAUGGUGUUUGGUUUUCUUUGGGUUGUAUUUGUAUAAAUAUGUUAUUGGUAUGUGUUCCAAAAUCAUGGAAAACUCCUAUAAUUCUGAUGACUUAAUGUAUACAAUUAGGAAUAAUUAUAAUUAUUAUAUUAAAUUAUUGUGUGCCACAGAGGUAACAAAUUUCCUUGUCAAUUGUGUCUUUUUUGUGGCUGCCCUAAAACCUUUUGUCAUCCUGGACAAUUGUCUUGUUUUGGUCUUCCUUAGAAGGUGGUUUUAUAAUCAGCUAUAAAACUCUAACAUGUGUUCCUAAAUUCAGGUUUCUGAUAACUUUGGAGACUAUGACAUCAGAAUAGAGGAAAAAAAAUUCAGCACUCUUAUAGAGAGCUGAAAUGUUCAUGAAUAUCAAGCAGAACAGCAGUUAACUGCAUAAACUAAACUAGUAGAAGACUAAAGUAAUCUUUUUAACUUUUUUGCUUAGAAUAUUGCUGAUCCUUUGUUUAGUUUUUCAGAGACAGGAAAACUUUUCUUUUAAGCUAUUUACAGCUUUUAGCAGUUAAGUAAGGUAUAUUCUUAAGAACAAAAUUUGGAGCAUACUUGUUUCUCUCUACCUGAUUUCUCCAAGAUUUGAAAACUAUUUUUGAGUAUUCUUAACUUCUAACAAUACAGUUACUUGCACAAGUGCAAUCUGUUUUCACUUGUAACAGGACACAAUUGAAGAAACUGGUUAUUUUACCAAGACUUUGACUGAAAUAAGGCACCAUCCUUUAAACAAUCAAACUUGACUUAUAGAGCCAAUUAAAGCCCCACAUGGAAAAAAAAAAAAAAACAACUGGCCUCACACCUUUGCCUACACAGCCCCUGUACAGGGUUCCUGACCUGUGGUAGGUAAUGAAUGUCACUUUAUCACAGGACCAGGAGCCUCAAGGUUAUCUUGGAACCUCAAGAGGAGAUCACCCAAGUCACAGGUAUUUGAUGGCACAAAUCCAUGACUGGGUUUGUCUUUUAAAAAGUCUUACCUGCAUACCGUUCCAUGAAAGCCAGUUGAAAUGCCAAUGUAAAAAAUAAUUAUUCUUGUCGCACCAUAUACAAAUAAUUAGGCUAAAUCUGAUAAAGCAAACCAGAUCUACCAUAAUUUGUUUUUAGUAAAAAUGUGAAACUGAGGAGGGAAAUAUUAUGUUUCAAAACUAUAGGUCACUCGUUGUUAGAGUCUAGUAUUUUCUAAUGAUUUUCAAUUUUUAUUAUUUUUUACAGUUUGAGCUGAAUUCUAGUUUUUCCUGUAUACAAGUCUCUAAAAAUUUUUUCUUAUUUUUCUUCUUUAUUUUCCUGAAAAUAAACCUCAUUUUUCCUAAUGUGAAAUCACUGAAAACUAAGCUAUACUUUUAUAAAGCCCUGGCUAGACAACUUAAACUUCCAAAGAAAAUAACAACAACCUAUUUACAUACAUAACCCACUUUCAUACCUGCCUACUGAUGUAUGGACUUCACAGUAAUGUGGCCUUUAUCAAUUUUCCAGGAUUGUUCUUAUGUUUGUUAUUUUUCUCCUUUCCUCACCCUAUUUUCUCUUCAUAGGACAUGAGACUUCACAAUCUGCUAAAAAUGAGCUUUCCUAAUUAGUCGGUACUUAACCAUUUAGGAUUAAACCAUUCUAGCCAUGAGAGAUUAGACGAAACCUGAGACCGGAGACUCAUUUUCUUCUAAGAUAUUUUCCUCAAAAGAUUUUUAAAAAGAAAAGCAGGGAAAUGUGAAAGAAAAAUAAAUCUUGGGGCCUCCAAAUCACUACUGCUUAGGGCCAGCCUGCCUCCCAUUCUAUUCAAAGUCACCCCUCUGCUCACUGAGAUAAAUGCAUAUCUAAUUGCCUCCUUUGAAGAGGCUAAUCAAAAACUCAAAAGAAUAAAACCAUUUGUCUCUUAACUACCUGUGACCUGGAAGUCCCUUCCCUGCUUCGAGUCUUCCCUCCUUUGCUUCAAAGUUGUCCUGCUGUUCCAGACCAAACUAAUGAUCAUCUUGCAUAUAUUGAUUGAUGUGUGAUGCCUCCCUAAAAUGUAAAAAACCAAAAUGUGCUCUGACCAUCUUGGGCACAUGUCAUCAGGACCUCCGGAGACUAUGUCACAGGCGCAUGUCCUCAACCUCAACAAAAUAACUUUAUAAAUUACCUGAUACCAGUCUCAGAUUUUCAGGAUUCAUACUCUUCUUUUUACUAUUAUUAUUAUUUGUGUUAAGAACAGUUAACAUUAUAUCUAUCCUCUAAGCAAAUUUUUAAGUAUACAAUACAGUAUAAAUGCCAUUAUGUGCAGAUUUCUAGGAUGUAUUCAUCUUUACUAACUGAAACUUUGUACCCUCUUUAAAAAAUUUGUCUUGAUUGGUACAUUCUAUGCUUCCUGUGUUUGUGGAAUCAUUAAUCAGUUCUGGAAAUUCUUGGACAUCACCUCUAUGAAUAUUGCUUCUACUAAAUUUUCUCUAAUCUCUUCCUCCUAGACUCUGAUUAUGAGCUUAUACAUAUUCAUGUUCAUGUAUUUUAUCACUUUUGCAUUGUCCAUUCCCUUGUCUCUCUAUGCAGCUUUCUGUGUUACUUCUUUGUGUAUAUACAUGUAAACCAAAAAUAAAAUUCUAAGGAACCCCCAACCAUCUGAAUGGACUUCUUCCUCAGCCAGAGCUCUUAAAACUUAACAUGAAAGACUGGUUCAGGCCAUGAAGGGAAGUGGGGCUCGAACAUGUCUUAUUAUACCUCUCCAGCAUUAACAUCAACAGAGACUUUAAGUCUGCUAAGAAACAUUUUGCAAUAUAUUAUCUCUGAAGUCUGCUAGCUAGAAGCUUCAUCUGCAUAGUAAAACUUUGGUCUCCACAAUCUCUUAUUACGAACCUAGACAUUCCUUUCUAUUGAUCCCAGGUCUUUAGAAAAACCCAACCAAUUGCCAACCAGAAAAUGUUUACAUUUACCUAUAGCCUGGAACCCUUCCCUCCCUUCGAGUUGUCCUGCCUUUCUGGACCAAACCAAUGUAUUUCCUAAAUGUAUUUCUUUGAUGUCUCAUGCCUCCCUCAAAUGUAUAAAACCAAGCUGCACCCGGACUAUCUUGGGGACAUGUUCUUGGGACCUCCUGAGGGCUGUGUCAUGGGCCAUGGUCACUCAUAUUUGGCUCAGAGUAGAUCUCUUCAAAUAUUUUACAGAGCUUGACUCAUUUCAUCAAAAUAUUCUUCAACAAUUCUCUUUAAAAUGAUGUCAAAUGUGUAAUUUCAUCUAUCUAGCGGCAGAUUUCUUGUACUUUUCAUAUAUUUCAUAUUUAUACUUCUUAUUUCAGGAAUGUUUUUCUUUCCAUCUGUCUGUUCAUUCUGAUUAUUACUCAGUAUAUGCUUAUAUUUUAAUGCUGCGAGUAUAUCUUUAAACAUUUUGUAUGCAGCUAUUGUAUAUAUUUAAAAUAGGAUUUUCCAGCAUAUACAGACUGUUGUGGCUAAAUCUGUUACUUGUACAUUUCAUUGAUUCUCCUUAUGAUUGCUGGCCUUUUAGCUGUCUGAAUAUUUUUCUGUUUGCUCAUUUCUUUAUGUUCAUUUCUGUAUAUUAUGAGAUUUAUAUAGGAACAAUUAACUGCAUGAGUUUAUUACAAUAAUAAUAGUAGCUUGAGGAUAACCUCAACCCAGAACCAUUAUAGUUCAUUUGAGAGUUUUGCUUCAAGAAAGAAGUUCAAGUUCAGAAGUUCAGGAACCCUACAGCUGGAAUCCACUCCCCAGCACCUCCACCCUACUCAGUGUCUGCUGGACUCUCUGGCUCCCAUCUGUUCUGGCUACCUGCCUCUGUGGUCCUGAUUGCCAGGUACUAAUGAUCAGGCUCUGGAAACCAAACCCAACUCCUGAUCUUACAGAUUCCAAUGUUGUUUCACAAUGCCCCUAAUUCAUAUUAAUUAUUUGUGCUUUUAAUUAAUUAAUUGACUUUUGUAUAGUGAGGGUGUUUACUGGAUAAUUUUUAUAGAUUUUUUUUUCAGAGCAGCAAGUGUAUUAGAUUUCUUUUUUCUCCAGAAAAAAAGAAACAAUAAAGGACAAUAGGGAAGAUCAAUCUAUCUGUACAGCAAAGGAAACAAUCAAGAGAGUGAAGAGACAACCUACAGAAUGGGAGGACAUAUGUGAUAAGAGGUUAAUUUUCAAAAGAUAUAAAGAACUCAAACAACUCAACAGCAAGAAAACAAAUAACCCUAUUUGAAAAUUUGCAAAUGACCUGAAUAGAUAUUUCUCAAAAGAAGACAUGCAAAUGGCAAACAGGUAAAUGAAAAAAUGCUCAUUAUCACUAAAUAUUAGGAAAAUGCAAAUCAAAAACACAUUAAGCUAUCACCGCACACCUGUUAGAAUAGCUAUUUUGAAAAAGACAAAGAUAACAAAAAUUAGAAGGAUGUGGAAAAAUGGAAACCAUUCAUAAUGGUGGUACGUAAACUAGUACCACCAUUAUAAAAAGCAGUAUGAAAAUACCUAUAAAAAUUAAAAAUAAAACUAUCACAUAAUCUAGUAAUCCUACUACCAAAUAUAUAUCCAAAGGAAAUAAAAUUAAUAUGGCAAAUAGACAUCUGCACUCCCAUGUUUAUUGCAGCACUAUCCACAAUAGCCAAGAUAAUGAUCAAAAUAAGUGCCCAUUAAUGGAGGAAUAGUAUUUAAGACAUAAAAAUAAUAAAAUAUUGUCAUUUGCAACAGCAUGAAUGAAUCCGAAGAACAUUAUGUUAAGUGAAAUAAACAAGAAAAAGAAUGACAAACAUCCCAUGAUCUCACUCAUAUAUGGAAUCAAAAAUGUUGAUCUCAUAGAAGUAGAGAGUAGAAUGGUGGUUACUAUUGGUUUGGGUGGUUAGGGAGGAUGUCCUUGGUGAGGGGUUAUGGAGAGAUGUUGGUCAAAGGAUAUAUAAUUAUAGUUUGAUAGAAGAAAUAUAUUUUGAUGUCCAGAACAGGCAAAUGAAUGGAGACAGAAAGUAGAUAAAUGAUUGCCUGGAGUCAGAAGGGGUAGGAAGUAUACAUGGUGGGGG
RNAcentral lists this long non-coding RNA (9203 nucleotides) under Homo sapiens (human). RNAcentral's name for it is "HSALNT0127992". The record is from RNAcentral. Lineage: Eukaryota; Metazoa; Chordata; Mammalia; Primates; Hominidae.